This 879-nucleotide ribosomal RNA is filed under the name uncultured organism. RNAcentral describes it as "bacterial SSU rRNA". It matches the Rfam family "Bacterial small subunit ribosomal RNA", at positions 89 to 969 of the family's 1533-position model. The record is from RNAcentral.
ACACGACCGGCGCACGGGUGAGUAACGCGUAUGCAACCUACCUUUUUCAGGAAGAUAGCUCCCGGAAACGGGAAUUAAUAUUCCAUAUUCUAUAUAUAUUGCCUGAUAUUGUAUAGUAAAGUAUUCCACGGAAAAAGAUGGGCAUGCGUGUCAUUAGCUAGUUGGUGAGAUAACAGCUCACCAAGGCGACGAUGACUAGGGGUUCUGAAAGGAUGAUCCCCCACACUGGUACUGAGACACGGACCAGACUCCUACGGGAGGCAGCAGUGAGGAAUAUUGCGCAAUGGAGGCAACUCUGACGCAGCCAUGCCGCGUGCAGGAGGACGGCCCUAUGGGUUGUAAACUGCUUUUCUUAACUAAGAAAGAUGGAUAUUUAUAUUCAUUUGACUGGUUUUGGAAUAAGCAUCGGCUAACUCCGUGCCAGCAGCCGCGGUAAUACGGAGGAUGCAAGCGUUAUCCGGAUUCACUAGGUUUAAAGGGUGCGUAGGCGGAAGGAUAAGUCAGUGGUGAAAUCUUGCGGCUUAACCGUAAAAUUGCCAUUGAUACUGUUUUUCUUGAGUGUGGUUGAGGUAGGCGGAAUGAGUAAUGUAGCGGUGAAAUGCUUAGAUAUUACUCAGAACACCGAUUGCGUAGGCAGCUUACUAAGCCAUUACUGACGCUGAUGCACGAAAGCGUGGGUAGCAAACAGGAUUAGAUACCCUGGUAGUCCACGCAGUAAACGUUGAUUACUCGUUGUUGGCAAUACAUCGUCAGCGACUGAGCAAAAGCAUUAAGUAAUCCACCUGGGGAGUACGUCAGCAAUGAUGAAACUCAAAGGAAUUGACGGGGGCCCGCACAAGCGGAGGAACAUGUGGUUUAAUUCGAUGAUACGCGAGGAAC